UACGUAGGGCGCAAGCGUUAUCCAGAAUUAUUGGGCGUAAAGAGCUCGUAGGCGGUUUGUCGCGUCUGCCGUGAAAGUCCGGGGCUCAACUCCGGAUCUGCGGUGGGUACGGGCAGACUAGAGUGAUGUAGGGGAGACUGCAAUUCCUGGUGUAGCGGUGAAAUGCGCAGAUAUCAGGAGGAACACCGAUGGCGAAGGCAGGUCUCUGGGCAUUAACUGACGCUGAGGAGCGAAAGCAUGGGGAGCGAACAGG
Molecule: ribosomal RNA, 253 nt
Filed under: uncultured bacterium
Lineage: Bacteria
Description: partial 16S ribosomal RNA
Rfam family: Bacterial small subunit ribosomal RNA
Source: RNAcentral